RNAcentral lists this transfer RNA (70 nucleotides) under Loxodonta africana (African savanna elephant). It matches the Rfam family "tRNA". Rfam says of the family: Transfer RNA (tRNA) molecules are approximately 80 nucleotides in length. Their secondary structure includes four short double-helical elements and three loops (D, anti-codon, and T loops). Further hydrogen bonds mediate the characteristic L-shaped molecular structure. tRNAs have two regions of fundamental functional importance: the anti-codon, which is responsible for specific mRNA codon recognition, and the 3' end, to which the tRNAs corresponding amino acid is attached (by aminoacyl-tRNA synthetases). tRNAs cope with the degeneracy of the genetic code in two manners: having more than one tRNA (with a specific anti-codon) for a particular amino acid; and 'wobble' base-pairing, i.e. permitting non-standard base-pairing at the 3rd anti-codon position. Lineage: Eukaryota; Metazoa; Chordata; Mammalia; Proboscidea; Elephantidae. The record is from Rfam by way of RNAcentral.
ACAUUGGUGGUUCAGUGGUAGAAUUCUUGCCUUCCAUGCGGAUACCCUGGUUCGAUUCCCAGCCCAUGCA